This 845-nucleotide ribosomal RNA is filed under the name uncultured bacterium. RNAcentral's name for it is "bacterial SSU rRNA". It matches the Rfam family "Bacterial small subunit ribosomal RNA", at positions 60 to 916 of the family's 1533-position model. The record is from RNAcentral.
AGUCGACGAUGAUCCCCAGCUUGCUGGGGGGAUUAGUGGCGAACGGGUGAGUAAUACGUGAGUAACCUGCCCUUGACUCUGGGAUAAGCCUGGGAAACUGGGUCUAAUACUGGAUACGACCUUCCCACGCAUGUGGUGUUGGUGGAAAGCUUUUGUGGUUUUGGAUGGACUCGCGGCCUAUCAGCUUGUUGGUGGGGUAAUGGCCUACCAAGGCGACGACGGGUAGCCGGCCUGAGAGGGUGGACGGCCACACUGGGACUGAGACACGGCCCAGACUCCUACGGGAGGCAGCAGUGGGGAAUAUUGCACAAUGGGCGCAAGCCUGAUGCAGCGACGCCGCGUGAGGGAUGAAGGCCUUCGGGUUGUAAACCUCUUUCAGUAGGGAAGAAGCGAAAGUGACGGUACCUGCAGAAGAAGCGCCGGCUAACUACGUGCCAGCAGCCGCGGUAAUACGUAGGGCGCAAGCGUUAUCCGGAAUUAUUGGGCGUAAAGAGCUCGUAGGCGGUUUGUCGCGUCUGCCGUGAAAGUCCGGGGCUUAACUCCGGAUCUGCGGUGGGUACGGGCAGACUUGAGUGAUGUAGGGGAGACUGGAAUUCCUGGUGUAGCGGUGAAAUGCGCAGAUAUCAGGAGGGACACCGAUGGCGAAGGCAGGUCUCUGGGCAUUAACUGACGCUGAGGAGCGAAAGCAUGGGGAGCGAACAGGAUUAGAUACCCUGGUAGUCCAUGCCGUAAACGUUGGGCACUAGGUGUGGGGGACAUUCCACGUUUUCCGCGCCGUMGCUAACGCAUUAAGUGCCCCGCCUGGGGAGUACGGCCGCAMGGCUAAAACUCAAAGGAAUUGACGG